AAUAAAAUAAUUAUGUUUUGGAAAUUUAUUAUAAAUUUAUUUUACAUAUAAAUUUUAGUAUAUAAUUUUAAUUAUUUAAAUAAUAAUUAAUUAUAUUUUAGUGUAAUUAAUAUUAAAAAUUUAAGAAUUAUAAGAUAUAGUUUAAUAUAAAAAUUAAUAACUAAUUUUGUGCCAGCAGUUGCGGUUAAACAAAAGUUAAAUUAAAUUAUUUCAGUAUAUAAUAAAUAAUUAAAUUAUUAAAAUAAAUAUUAAAUUAUUAAGUGAAAUUUUAAUUUAAUUAAAUUUUAUUUUAAAAUUAUGAUUUAAUAAAUUUUAAUAUAAACUAGGAUUAGAUACCCUAUUAUUAAAAAUUUAAUUUAUAAUACUAAAAUAGUAAAUAAUAAUUUAUUGAAACUUAAAUAACAUGGCGGUAUUUUAGUUCAUUUAGAGGAAUCUGUCUAAUAAUUGAUAAUCCACGAAUAAAUUUACUUAAUUUAUAAUUUUGUAUAUCAUUGUUAAAAAAAUAUUUUUUAGGAAAAAUAAUAUUUAAAAAUUAUAAUAAAAAAUUAAAUCAGAUCAAGAUGCAGAAUAUAAUUAAGAAUAUGAUGGAUUACAUUAAAUAUAUUUAUAUGAAUAAUUUUAUUGUAAUAAAAAUUUGAAGGUGGAUUUAAAUGUAAUUUUAAUUAGUUUAUUAAAAUGAUUAAAAAUUAAAAUAUGUACAUAUUGCCCGUCACUUUCAUUUAAAAAUUGAAAUAAGUCGUAACAAAGUAGAGGUACUGGAAAGUGUUUCUAGAAAGA
RNAcentral lists this non-coding RNA (777 nucleotides) under Junonia evarete (West Indian buckeye). The record is from RNAcentral. Lineage: Eukaryota; Metazoa; Arthropoda; Insecta; Lepidoptera; Nymphalidae.